GUUGGGGCUGGUCCUGCUUGGAGCAGGGGGCUGGACUAGAUGUGACCAACCCUCGUUUUCUAUGAUCUAUCCAGUUAUAUAAAUGGGCACGGUUGGGGAGGGGGAGGGAGAUACCAAAUUCCUUCUGGGAGAAUGCAGGCUCAUGUGUCUAGGCCAAGCAAAUCAGGAUGGCAGAGCUCAGUGGAAAGCUACACCAGGGAUGCUAAAAUGUGGAAUGACCCAGGGGAGACGCAGGCAGUGUAGUUUGCCACGGGGCACAGGGGCAAAAACAUCAGGACAGGAGCAUCGUGUUGUAGAGCAGGGAAGAAACUGGCAGCCUCCAGCAGCCGACCUCUACAGCACUGCCUGCUGCCCCAGCGAGCCGGAGCGUAGAUAAGCUUAUAGGUGGCCCAGAUUGAACUGGGAAGAACUCAGGAAGGAGCGAGAAGAAACUGGAAAGAUGAAUAUACAUGGAAGACUGGAUGGGGGCACGGCCAAACGGUGAGCCAGUGACACGGGGUAAGCUGCUGGCAGGUAGCAUCCAUUUGUCAUGCACCAGAGCAUGCAUUUACCUUUCUGGUAAACCUCCGUAAACCUCCUCCCUGGCUCACCUUGAGGUGCACCUGCAAGCAGUUGAGAGCUGUAAACCUGAGCGAGAGAGAGGUGACAUUUGGGACUGGACAGGUGCCGUGAAUGAAAUGAAGGCCAAGCAGAGGAACCCCGGGCUGCUGCCUUAAGAUUUGUUUCCAGACCAGAGCUGUCCCUGCCUGCCGUGCUCCCCAGGGGGCUUGCACAGUGGCCUCAGGACCGCGAUUGGGACUGACAGGGCAGCGUGCUCUGGACACAAGCGGGUCUAAGCACAAGCAAAGAGCUGAGGAGGGAGCUUUGAAGUGCAGAGCACUUGGAAGGAAGUCUAAUGGCUGGAGCGUCUUAGAGAGAAGAGUAAAUCACUAAGGAACUUAUUGCCUUAAUUCUUCUUUGUUAUUAUAUUUAACAGUAAAUCAAGAAGCUGUUGCCUUGGCAGUCUGAUGAUGCCCAGUAAGGCAGAAAGCAGAGCCCAUUUGGAAGCAUCCGACAAAUUAUCACUGCAAUUGUCUUCUGAAAGCUUUUGCUUCCUCAUGCAUUCAGAUGAGUCCUGAUUUCUCUGUUCCACUCAGCUUCAUCACACUGGAACCCCCUUCUCGAAAGGAUCGUUAAAACGGCAGCUGCCGGGAAGCCCAUUCCUGGGUGGGGAUGAGAGGUGUUUCUACAGUCCCCCGUGUGCACACACAUCUCCUCUGCAAAAUCCCUAGAGGAACCCAGGCAUUCGGCCCUGUAUGUUUUCCUCAGGAGGGGAAUGCUCUUCUGGUUCCUGGAAGACCUAAUAACUUGCGCCAUAGGUUUGUGCAGCAGGUUACAGCAGUGCUCAGCUGCCUGGUACGGGGCUGCGAGGCAUACUGCGUUCGUGGUGGCGAAAUGUGUCGCACGGUCAGAGCAGUGUUUCAGCACCUAUUUAAUAAAUAUCUGGCUCUCGGGCAUUAGCAUUUGCUAGUAAAACUAUCCUUCUGUGCCAACGCCUCCCAUUCCCAGAGGCUUUCUGUUCAGGUUCCCAAGUCACCCCCAAGCCAUCCAUCGGGUUGGCUUGGGCAGGCCGAACACGGGACAGGGAGCAGCGGGCUCGUGUCAGGAGGGAGGUAAGGCGCCUGAAACCCCUGUUCUGUGGACCUACCAGCACAGGGGAGAAACUGCUCCUGGAAGCAGGCCCCGUGUGCAGCCCUUCAGCAGCUCCUUGGUUGCCACCAGGUGAGAGAGGAGUGGCUGGACCAGCUAUUUGCUUGCGUGAGGGAUGUGGACAUCAGACCUGGGAUGUUCACCCUCCCCUCCUGCCACGGGCCAAUGCUCAGUGAACAGCGGCUUGCCUAUGUGCACAGAGGGACGGCUAAGCACACCUGUGCCCUGUUAAGCUGCUCCCUUCUCUGCUAAGCUCAGCACCCUGCCCUCAGUGCCAGCAGGCAGAAGGAAGCUGGGCUGCAUUGCAGAUGCUGUGAGAUUGAACAGAGGGGAGGGAAACGUGGCUGGGGAAGUGGUGGCAAUGCCACCCAGGCCAGAGAGGCAGCAUUGCAGCGUGUCCAGGGGAUUCAGCAUUGUUGUCACCCAGAUUUUGAGCCACCCACCAGCUGAGCAGGGAAGUGACUGCGGGGGAAGCUGGGGUGCAUGUACGGCAGGCUCGCUGGUCCACACCGAGUCCCAGCGCAGACUUGGCGUGCACCAACUGGGAGGUCGCAUGCCCCACCGCAAAACAGGGCUGCAGGAGGCAUCACUUUGGAGACCUGACAGCACCGUCACUUUGUGCUCUGGCUUCCUGCGCAGGAACUUCCCCACGGGGAUAAGCUCUGGGUGCCCGUAGCUUUGGGUCAGAUCUUUCCAAGAGGCUCAGAGUUGCACCGGGGGGCACAAGGCAGAGGAAACAGACUAUGCUUUGCUGCAGCCGGGGUGGCCUCUAUCUGCCAGUGCAGGCCAAGCUGCCUGGCUCGACAGACAAAGACAUCAGUGCUAGUUCCCCAGCCUGCGACUUAGCAGAGCGUGAUGGAGAGGGGGCUCAGCCAGCGUGGAGGCCACAGGACAUGGAGCCACAAACUAAUCCCUUGGACAACUGUGCCAAAGGCCGGUGGCAGAAGAGGAUGCAACCCCAGGGAUUGACACACAGGAAGGGCAGAGCAAGGUGCAGUGGUGUGAGGCCAUGCGAGGGAAGGAGGCAGAGAGGCCAGGAAGCUGCUGGGGAAAGCGCCACGUGAUGCAGCAUGUUGCAGAUGCUCGGGAAAGGCCCUGGGGAAGGCAGUUUGCAAUGUAAAACAUUUAGGAACCAAACAUCCAUGAGGCUGACCCUGCCACACAUGUGAGGGAUCCAGUUCCCGUGGGCCAGGACCUGGUGCCCAUAUCCUCUUUGUGCCCUUGAGACCCUCCCCAGACAGUCCAGUGCAAGACCAGCCCAGUCAGUGGGCAUCUUUGCAUCAGCCACGGCAGCUGCUGGGUCAAGCCUUUAGCUCCUGCGGUGACGGAUGUGACAUCAGAGCUCAGCAGACAGAUUUGGCUGCCGCAACUUCUGCAGCCUGCCAUCCCCUCCGCGCCAGCUCACUGUUUGGGGCACAGAUGGAAGAACCGCCCUGUUUCCAAGAGAAGACAUCGCUCCUACCACGAGCACCCCCACCAGGGCUCGGCUGUGGGCAGAUCUCCUGCAAGCUGGAAAAUCCUUGUGGAUCAGGGCCGGGCCCUCCCAGCUCUGAGCUGCUUAAAUGCUGAGAGCUUGUCUGGACAGCCCUGGAGCAGGGGGGACUAUGAAGCUGCAUGCAAAUGGUCUUUGUCUUUUUUUUUUCAUCAAAAAUACAAAACCCGCCAAAGCCGUGCCUUGCAGCCGCGGUCGGCCCCGGUGCCACGGCUGUGGGGAGGCGCACGCGGUGGCCCCCGGAGGCAGUGUGCUCCUUCCCCGCUCGCCAAACAGACUUCAUCUCCCAGUGGCAGCUGGAGCUUUCCCAGAGAGACGACUGGUUGUUUUAAAAAA
Molecule: long non-coding RNA, 3517 nt
Organism: Gavialis gangeticus (Gharial)
Lineage: Eukaryota; Metazoa; Chordata; Crocodylia; Gavialidae
Exons: 2
Source: RefSeq, a predicted model, not a curated record